UACGUAGGUGGCAAGCGUUGUUCGGAAUUAUUGGGCGUAAAGCGCGCGUAGGCGGCUACUUAAGUCGGAUGUGAAAGCCCCUGGCUCAACUGGGGAAGUGCACCCGAAACUGAGUGGCUUGAGUACAAAAGAGGGUCGCGGAAUUCCCGGUGUAGAGGUGAAAUUCGUAGAUAUCGGGAGGAACACCGGUGGCGAAGGCGGCGACCUGGGUUGAUACUGACGCUGAGGCACGAAAGCGUGGGGAGCAAACAGG
RNAcentral lists this ribosomal RNA (253 nucleotides) under uncultured bacterium. Its description in RNAcentral is "partial 16S ribosomal RNA". It matches the Rfam family "Bacterial small subunit ribosomal RNA", at positions 524 to 776 of the family's 1533-position model. The record is from RNAcentral.